AAGACUAUAGACCUGCGGAGUACCUGCGGAAGGAUCAUUACCGAGUGCGGGCCCUCGCGGCCCAACCUCCCACCCUUGUCUCUAUACACCUGUUGCUUUGGCGGGCCCACCGGGGCCACCUGGUCGCCGGGGGACUGUCGUCUCCGGGCCCGCGCCCGCCGAAGCGCUCUGUGAACCCUGAUGAAGAUGGGCUGUCUGAGUACUAUGAAAAUUGUCAAAACUUUUAACAAUGGAUCUCUA
RNAcentral lists this unclassified non-coding RNA (240 nucleotides) under soil metagenome. RNAcentral describes it as "partial contains 5.8S ribosomal RNA, internal transcribed spacer 2, and large subunit ribosomal RNA". The record is from RNAcentral.